This 528-nucleotide ribosomal RNA is filed under the name Triticum aestivum (bread wheat). RNAcentral describes it as "partial small subunit ribosomal RNA". The record is from RNAcentral. Lineage: Eukaryota; Viridiplantae; Streptophyta; Magnoliopsida; Poales; Poaceae.
AUGAGAAUUUCCAUUGAUGAGUGCAAAGGAAGAACCGCUAGGAUGCAUGUUAAGAAAGAUUCCUUUAUAAGAGCGUGUUCUUUCCAUGAUAAUAAAGAUGAAGAUCUAAAAGUUAUUGAUGUGUCCCCUAUUAAUUUCUUUUGCAAUAUGAAUCUUGAUAAUGAUGGGACUGAAUAUGAUCCAAAUUUACCUAGAAGGCAUUCCAAAAAUUCGGAGUUUUUAGACCUUGAUGCUAAAUUUGAUAAAAGUGGGAUUGAAGAGAUCAAAACUCUAGAUGUUAAUGAACUUACUAUUUUGGAUUUUAAGGAAUUUAAUUAUGAUAAUUGCUCUUUGAUAGAUUGUAUUUCCUUGUUGCAAUCCGUGCUAAAUUCUCCUCAUGCUUAUAGUCAAAAUAAAGCUUUUACCAAACAUAUCGUUGAUAUUUUGAUGCAAUCUUAUGAAGAAAAACUUGAGUUGGAAGUUUCUAUCCCUAGAAAACUUUAUGAUGAGUGGGAACCUACUAUUACAAUUAAAAUUAAAUAUCAUUAA